UCCCUUCAGGAUGACUUGCUCCCUGUGAAGACAGCUCUUUGUUUUACACUGUUCAAAGUGUAACUAAAAUUCUCUUUCAAGAGUUAUUCUUGUUCUUUCUCAUCUUCCCAGUUCUUUCCUUUAGAAUCUUGCUGUUUUGCCUAGGCUGGCCUCAACUUCCUGGGUUCCAGUGAUCCUGCCACCUCAGACUCUUGGGUAUCUGGGACUACAGAUUUCCUUCUUUCUUCCAUUUCACAAGAGCUGAAUAACAUCAACAGUCUCACAUGGUGCUUGCCAUUUGCUGAGGAGUCUGUAGGACCAACAGACUUCUGGGCCUAAACACUACAAGCAGCUGCCUUGCUUCUUCUGUGGGGACAAUUGAGAAAAGGAUAUUGUACACCAUCUCUAGUAACCCAAGACUGAAUGGGAAGAGAUUCUGGGAAAUAUAGUUCCAGCUUAUCGAAGCACUCAUGGCAUAGAACCACCAAAGAAGGUGUCAAUUUCUCACUGUGAUCAGAAGGUCCUCCCUACACCUGCUGCCCCCAACUUUCAUCUUUCACAAGAGUUUUCCCCAAUAAAUAUCUCCCAUGUGUA
Long non-coding RNA from Marmota flaviventris (yellow-bellied marmot), 573 nucleotides. RefSeq lists it as uncharacterized. NCBI's taxonomy places the organism in Eukaryota, Metazoa, Chordata, Mammalia, Rodentia, Sciuridae. The record is from RefSeq and is a predicted model, not a curated record.